GAUAUGUUGUUCAAGGGCUUAUUCCAUGUCACGGGUCAAUGGAAGUGAUACAAUUUUCUUGAAGUAGAGACAUAGAGAAGAGUUUCUGUGGAGCUAAAGAUAGAGAUACACACUAAAGACAGAGUUGGGUUAUUAUAUGAUGCUAUACGGUCAAUAGCGUCAUAUAACGGUGUCAAUACUUACAAGGCAGAGACCGGACGGUGGCCGGAGGACGGACGGUGGUGGUC
Molecule: long non-coding RNA, 227 nt
Organism: Helianthus annuus (common sunflower)
Lineage: Eukaryota; Viridiplantae; Streptophyta; Magnoliopsida; Asterales; Asteraceae
Exons: 3
Source: RefSeq, a predicted model, not a curated record